Molecule: ribosomal RNA, 460 nt
Filed under: uncultured bacterium
Lineage: Bacteria
Description: partial 16S ribosomal RNA
Rfam family: Bacterial small subunit ribosomal RNA
Source: RNAcentral
CCUACGGGAGGCUGCAGUGAGGAAUAUUGGUCAAUGGACGAGAGUCUGAACCAGCCAAGUAGCGUGAAGGAUGACUGCUCUAUGGGUUGUAAACUUCUUUUAUAAAGGAAUAAAACGAGGCACGUGUGCCUUUUUGCAUGUACUUUAUGAAUAAGGAUCGGCUAACUCCGUGCCAGCAGCCGCGGUAAUACGGAGGAUCCGAGCGUUAUCCGGAUUUAUUGGGUUUAAAGGGAGCGUAGAUGGGUUGUUAAGUCAGUUGUGAAAGUUUGCGGCUCAACCGUAAAAUUGCAAUUGAUACUGGUAGUCUUGAGUACAGUUGAGGUAGGCGGAAUUCGUGGUGUAGCGGUGAAAUGCUUAGAUAUCACGAAGAACCCCGAUUGCGAAGGCAGCUUACUAAACUGUGACUGACAUUGAUGCUCGAAAGUGUGGGUAUCAAACAGGAUUAGAUACCCGUGUAGUC